This 253-nucleotide ribosomal RNA is filed under the name uncultured bacterium. RNAcentral's name for it is "partial 16S ribosomal RNA". It matches the Rfam family "Bacterial small subunit ribosomal RNA", at positions 524 to 776 of the family's 1533-position model. The record is from RNAcentral.
UACAGAGGGGGCAAGCGUUGUUCGGAAUUACUGGGCGUAAAGGGCGCGUAGGCGGCCCGCUAAGUCGAACGUGAAAUCCCCGGGCUCAACCCGGGAACUGCGUCCGAUACUGGUGGGCUUGAAUCCGGGAGAGGGAUGCGGAAUUCCAGGUGUAGCGGUGAAAUGCGUAGAUAUCAGGAGGAACACCGAUGGCGAAGGCAGGUCUCUGGGCCACUACUGACGCUGAGAAGCGAAAGCAUGGGGAGCGAACAGG